This 157-nucleotide non-coding RNA is filed under the name uncultured Prevotella sp. Lineage: Bacteria; Pseudomonadati; Bacteroidota; Bacteroidia; Bacteroidales; Prevotellaceae. The record is from RNAcentral.
UAUCGGUUCACCACGAGGUGAUUAAUAGGGAAACGAGUGUGAAUCUCGUACAGUCCCGCUGCUGUGAGUUGUCCUUUGUGGCACAAACAAAGAGUCACUGAUAUUUUCGGGAAGACGUUUGAUGCCAGACAAUAAGUCAGAAGACCUGCCGAUAUAU